Molecule: long non-coding RNA, 345 nt
Filed under: Calidris pugnax (ruff)
Lineage: Eukaryota; Metazoa; Chordata; Aves; Charadriiformes; Scolopacidae
Description: lncRNA (ENSCPUG00000005495.1)
Source: RNAcentral
GCUGAGCCUCCCCUCGCUGGAGUCAGGGGCCGCAGGGAAUUCCCACCAAAUUCAAGAGAAGAAAACUGGACCUUGGUGAACAAGACUUCAGGCAGAUGUUUGCAAGGAUGUGGGAGCCACCACCGCUGUUCCUUUGCCCUGCAAUAGUGCUGCAAACCCUCUGGGACCAGGCACUCCACCGGGACAGAGCAAAAACCUGCCCCUACCCAAAAGAGAGGUCUCAGGCUCACAAGGUGCACGUUGGUGUUAGUCCAGCCAUGGCUACGAGGCAAACUAUUGUUUCUGUCACCACUGGAAGAAAACAUCUUUCUCAUUCACAGACAAACAGCACUUUGGAGAUCAAAG